CCUACGGGAGGCAGCAGUGAGGAAUAUUGGUCAAUGGGCGUAAGCCUGAACCAGCCAAGUCGCGUGAGGGAUGAAGGUUCUAUGGAUCGUAAACCUCUUUUAUAAGGGAAUAAAGUGUGGGACGUGUCCUGUUUUGUAUGUACCUUAUGAAUAAGGAUCGGCUAACUCCGUGCCAGCAGCCGCGGUAAUACGGAGGAUCCGAGCGUUCUCCGGAUUUAUUGGGUUUAAAGGGUGCGUAGGCGGCCUUUUAAGUCAGCGGUGAAAGUCUGUGGUUCAACCAUAGAAUUGCCGUUGAAACUGGGAGGCUUGGUUAUGUUGGAGGCAGGCGGAAUGCGUGGUGUAGCGGUGAAAUGCUUAGAUAUCACGCAGAACCCCGAUUGCGAAGGCAGCCUGCCAAGCCAUGACUGACGCUGAUGCACGAAAGCGUGGGGAUCAAACAGGAUUAGAUACCCCAGUAGUC
RNAcentral lists this ribosomal RNA (460 nucleotides) under uncultured bacterium. Its description in RNAcentral is "partial 16S ribosomal RNA". It matches the Rfam family "Bacterial small subunit ribosomal RNA", at positions 338 to 795 of the family's 1533-position model. The record is from RNAcentral.